This is an RNA transcript of Cryptomeria japonica (Japanese cedar), 1156 nucleotides long. RefSeq lists it as uncharacterized. The record is from RefSeq and is a predicted model, not a curated record. The transcript has 6 exons. NCBI's taxonomy places the organism in Eukaryota, Viridiplantae, Streptophyta, Pinopsida, Cupressales, Cupressaceae.
GAAGAAUUUUCUAUUUGCGUUGAAACAUUAAGGUGGGAACCCCAUCAGUUGGUGGGGGUGUUAAGGAAAUGAGGCUGUGUGUGGGCACUCCAAUUCACCAUAGCUACACUAUUAUUCGUCAUAGCCCAUCCCGGAAUUUGCUGUGUUCGACGCAUUCAGUCGCGACCCAUAUCAUACUAAAACCAUUCCAAUUUAGCACAAGUGCCUGCAUUUUAAUUCAAAGCUGGGACAGUAUAAUCCAGAAGAAUCGCAGGAUAAGGAAAAGAAGAGGUGGAUUAGCAGUGGUGCCAAUGGCGGCUUCUGAAUCAUCUGCCUCCUCCAAGCCCUUCGGAACACUCUUUGUUUGCCUUGGAAAUAUUUGUCGAAGCCCCACUGCAGAGGCUGUAUUUCGUGAUGCUGUGCAGAAAAGGGGAUUGACAUCAAUGUUUAAAAUUGACUCUGCUGGAACUAUUGACUAUCAUGAGGGCAAUCCUGCGGAUCCCCGGAUGAGGAAUGCAGCCAAGAAACGUGGAAUAGAGAUAACUUCUAUUUCAAGGCCCAUAUCACCUUCAGACUUUAAAGAAUUUGAUCUUAUACUUGCAAUGGACAACCAAAAUAAAGCCGACAUCUUGAGGGCUUAUGAAGAAUGGAAAGUGAAGUAUUCUCUUCCUAAUGAUGCUCACAAGAAGCUUGCAGGUGAAGUUGAUGUGCACAUACUGUAAGCAAUGCAAGGAAACAGAAGUUCCCGAUCCAUACUAUGGUGGACCACAAGGUUUUGAAAAGAUAAAUUGACGCUAGGCUCAAAGUGAUGAAAAGUGCUCGCAAGGACACUAUUAAGGAAAUCUUCUUUUUUGAAAAAGCAACAGUUUAAGCAAUUUUUUUUUUCUCAAAAAAGGCAACAAAAAAGGAAAAGAUUCUUUUUCAAAAAAGCGGCAAAAGGAUUUGUUUCCUUCUAAACUAGCUGCCAAAGGGUUAUUAAAGGAGGUUAGGUUUUUAGAAGAAGGGUUACUGAGUUAUUUGUCAUUUUCAUAUACUUUGAGCAAGAACAUGAGCUCUACAUAUUUCUUGAGGACAAAUAUCCUCUUGGAAUACUAGUUUCAGGGACAAAACCCCUACUAGUUGCAUACGGCGUUUUCACCUUGAGAUCACAUUUGUGCUGCAAGUGAAGUUUGUUCCA